Molecule: ribosomal RNA, 62 nt
Filed under: Alternaria sp.
Lineage: Eukaryota; Fungi; Ascomycota; Dothideomycetes; Pleosporales; Pleosporaceae
Description: partial 28S ribosomal RNA
Source: RNAcentral
UUUUGACCUCGGAUCAGGUAGGGAUACCCGCUGAACUUAAGCAUAUCAAUAAGNCNGGAGGA